Molecule: ribosomal RNA, 500 nt
Filed under: uncultured bacterium
Lineage: Bacteria
Description: partial 16S ribosomal RNA
Rfam family: Bacterial small subunit ribosomal RNA
Source: RNAcentral
AUUGAACGCUGGCGGCAUGCCUUACACAUGCAAGUCGAACGGUAACAGGGUGCUUGCACCGCUGACGAGUGGCGAACGGGUGAGUAAUGCGUCGGAACGUGCCGAGUAGUGGGGGGUAACGCAGCGAAAGUUGUUCUAAUACCGCAUACGUACUGAGGAAGAAAGUGGGGGACCUUCGGGCCUCACGCUAUUCGAGCGGCCGACGUCUGAUUAGCUAGUAGGUGAGGUAAAGGCUCACCUAGGCGACGAUCAGUAGCGGGUCUGAGAGGAUGAUCCGCCACACUGGGACUGAGACACGGCCCAGACUCCUACGGGAGGCAGCAGUGGGGAAUUUUGGACAAUGGGCGAAAGCCUGAUCCAGCCAUGCCGCGUGUCUGAAGAAGGCCUUCGGGCUGUAAAGGACUUUUGUCAGGGAGGAAAUCCCUAGUGCUAAUAACACUGGGGGAUGACAGUACCUGAAGAAUAAGCACCGGCUAACUACGUGCCAGCCGCCGCGGUAA